Molecule: ribosomal RNA, 254 nt
Filed under: uncultured bacterium
Lineage: Bacteria
Description: partial 16S ribosomal RNA
Rfam family: Bacterial small subunit ribosomal RNA
Source: RNAcentral
UACGUAGGGGCCUAGCGUUGUCCGGAUUUAUUGGGCGUAAAGAGCUCGUAGGCGGUUUGGUGAGUCGGGUGUGAAAUCUCCACGCUCAACGUGGAGGGGCCACCCGAUACUGCCAUGACUAGAGUCCGGUAGGGGAGUGUGGAAUUCCUGGUGUAGCGGUGAAAUGCGCAGAUAUCAGGAGGAACACCAAUUGCGAAGGCAGCUCGCUGGGACGUUACUGACGCUGAGACGCGAAAGCGUGGGGAGCAAACGGG